Molecule: non-coding RNA, 393 nt
Organism: Mesoplodon densirostris (Blainville's beaked whale)
Lineage: Eukaryota; Metazoa; Chordata; Mammalia; Artiodactyla; Ziphiidae
Source: the annotation of a RefSeq genome assembly
AUGGCCUGGACCCCUCUCCUGCUCCCCCUCCUCACUCUCUGCACAGGUUCUGUGGCCUCUUCUCAGCUGACUCAACCACCUGCGGCGUCCGUGUCCUUAGGACAGAUGGCCAGGAUCACUUGCCAAGGCGAUAGCUUAGGAAGCUAUUAUGCUAGCUGGUACCAGCAGAAGCCAGGCCAGGCUCCUGUGCUGGUCAUUUAUGGUGAUAGCAACCGGGCCUCAGGGAUCCCUGACCGAUUCUCUGGCUCCAAAUCAGGCAACACAGCCACCCUGACCAUCAGCGGGGCCCAGGCCGAGGACGAGGCUGACUAUUACUGUGCGUCAGCUGACAGCAAGCUCCUGAGAUAUGGUGGGCGCACUGAAUGGAUUGAGGGGCCCCAUAAUCCAGUAUGA